GCGGGCGUAGCUUAGCGGUUUAAAGCGCCUCCCUGUCACGGAGGAGAUCGUGGGUUCAAAUCCCAUCGCCCGCG
This 74-nucleotide transfer RNA is filed under the name bacterium (Candidatus Gribaldobacteria) CG_4_10_14_0_8_um_filter_33_9. RNAcentral describes it as "tRNA-Asp". It matches the Rfam family "tRNA". From Rfam's summary of the family: Transfer RNA (tRNA) molecules are approximately 80 nucleotides in length. Their secondary structure includes four short double-helical elements and three loops (D, anti-codon, and T loops). Further hydrogen bonds mediate the characteristic L-shaped molecular structure. tRNAs have two regions of fundamental functional importance: the anti-codon, which is responsible for specific mRNA codon recognition, and the 3' end, to which the tRNAs corresponding amino acid is attached (by aminoacyl-tRNA synthetases). tRNAs cope with the degeneracy of the genetic code in two manners: having more than one tRNA (with a specific anti-codon) for a particular amino acid; and 'wobble' base-pairing, i.e. permitting non-standard base-pairing at the 3rd anti-codon position. Lineage: Bacteria; Candidatus Gribaldobacteria. The record is from RNAcentral.